Long non-coding RNA from Xiphophorus hellerii (green swordtail), 271 nucleotides. RefSeq lists it as uncharacterized. The record is from RefSeq and is a predicted model, not a curated record. The transcript is spliced from 2 exons. Lineage: Eukaryota; Metazoa; Chordata; Actinopteri; Cyprinodontiformes; Poeciliidae.
GGCGGCCACCAGGAGGCAGAGCGCCACGAAGAGUCCGAACGAGACGCCCAUCAUGAAGUAAAGAGCAAAACUCUCUGGAUUGGCUGAAACACAGAGGAGACGACAGGUAAUUAAUGUUUCCUUCUUGGCUUUGGUAUCAGAUGACCAUGUUGAGCUGUCGGUGUGAUUUUAUCCACUUGAUUGUGUGAAUAAAUUCUGGUUGACAGUGACUGCUGUCUUUGCGGUUUCGCAUUAACACCUGAGGAGACCAGAGAACGACGAGCAGCAGGUA